AUGAGCUGCAGGCCAGUCGAGUCUCCAGUGAUGUCACUGACCAGAAAGUCUAUGAGAUCCAGGACAUCUAUGAGAACAGUUGGUCAUGGUGCUGUCUUCCUGAUUUUGUACAAAGAAUUGUACUGUAGACACAUACGUGCCAAAGUCAGUGGGGGACCUUCCUUGGAGCAGAGGUUUGAAUCUUAUGACAACGACUACAAUCUCUUCAACUACAUUCUAAUGCUGGUGGUCCUGCUCCCCUUGAACUACCCAACCAGUGGCUCUGGGAUGUCAUCGAUGAGUUCAUCUAUCAGUGUCAGUCAUUUAGCCAGUACCGCUGUAAGACCGCCAAGAAGAAGAGAUUGACUUCGUUCGUUCCUAUCCCAAAAUCUGGAACAUUCACAGUGUCCUCAAUGUCCUUCAUUCUCUGUACAAGAUGCUUGGCUACUUCACCCUGCUGGGACUUCUGUGUGUGCACUCUCUGUUGGGAGAUUACUACCAGGCCAUCAAGGUGCUGGAGAAUAUCAAACUGAACAAGAAGAGCAUGUCCUCCCGUGUACCCGAGUGCCAGGUCACCACACACGGUUAUGUUGGUUUUGCACAUUAAAUGAUGCAUCACUACCAGGAUGCCUUCUGGGUCUUUGCCAACAUCCUCCUGUACACCCAGAGGACCGAGAGCAUGUUCCAGAGGACCACCUACAAAUAUGAGAUGAUUAACAAGUAGAACGAGCAGAUGCGUGCCCUGCUGGCCAUCGCCCUCACCAUGGACCCCAUGGGGACCUAUGACAGCGUUCACCUGCAGCUGCAGAAGUAGGGGGACAAGAUGCUGCACAUGCAGAAGGGUGACCCGCAGGUCUACGAGGAGCUGUGCAGCUCUCGCUGCCCUAAGUUCCUGUCUCCUGUAGCACCCAGCUAUGACAAUGUGCACCCCAACUACCGCUUGGAGCCCUUCUUUCAGCGCUUCUUGUUCAAGGUGUUUUCUGAUGAGGUCCAGCAGCAGGCCUGGCUCUUGACCAUCCGCAGCUUCCUGCAGCUCUCCACCACCAUGCCCGUGGCCAAGCUGGCCGGCUUCCUGGACCUCACAGAGCAGGAGUUCCGGAUCCAGCUCCUUCAUUUCAAACACAAAAUGAAGAACCUGGUGUGGACCAGCGGCAUCUCCGCCCUGGACGGCGAAUUCCAGUCUGCCUCUGAGGUGGACUUCUGCAUCGAUAAGGACAUGAUCCGCCUUGCAGACACCAACACUGCCAGGUGCUAUGGGGAUUUCUUCAUCCGGCAGAUUCACACGUUUGAGGUGCUCAAUCGAACUCUGAAGAAGACGGGACAGAGACCCUGA
Molecule: RNA transcript, 1312 nt
Organism: Rhinolophus ferrumequinum (greater horseshoe bat)
Lineage: Eukaryota; Metazoa; Chordata; Mammalia; Chiroptera; Rhinolophidae
Gene name: eukaryotic translation initiation factor 3 subunit L-like
Exons: 2
Source: RefSeq, a predicted model, not a curated record